GCUCCCUCUCCUCCUUCUCUUCGUCAUCUCCCAUCUCCCAUCUCCAAUCUCCGAUCUCGCUUCACCACCGCAUCCAAUGCCACUCUCAGCCCUCCACUUCCAUCCAUCCAUGGCGUCUUUAUUCGAAUCCUUCUGACAGUUUGUUUGAAUAUACAAUGCCUUCCUGAGGGCGAGUAGCAUUGUCCAUAUUGCACAGAAAGCUUUUCUGAAAUAGCAUCUACAGUUGCAGCCGUAUGUACUGCCCAACCUCUUUCAAUUCAUUCAAAACGCAUCCUUAAAGCACCAACAAAUUUUCUUGGUGGUAGUGCCUUUUGCAAGAGAAAUUUCUCAAAGCUUGCCAAGACAUAUUGGCUCGAGAAGGCCAAGGGGUACAAAUUGAUGAUGAUAAACUAUGGUGGAACAUUUUCGGUGUAGCAAAAAAUCGAUGUUAUGGCAUGGGUAACCUUAUUGAGGAGAUAUCUUCCGAUUAUUCUCAUUCGCAAUCUCAAUGGUCUACUUCGACUACUCAGCAAUUUGUUUCUUAUGCCCCUGCAGAGGUUAUGAGUAAGCUAGAAUUUUUAGAAAAACCAUAUGAGGAGCAGAAGCAGCAGAACCAGUACAUCUUUCCCUCUUAGAAUCUUGAGAUGUUCAGGUAAAUUUUGAUGCUACCAGGACUGGGGAGUCUGCUUCCCAUGCCCCUCACACAUUAGAGGAUGUUGAAUAGACUCAGCCUUUAGCCCAAUAGCAAGAUAAGGGUGUCGAUGAAAUUACAGCAAAAUAAAUGUGAUGUUUUGGAUUAUUACAUUAGAUACUUUUUUAACUUUCUAUUGUUACAUUAGAUGUUGAGACUUAUA
Molecule: long non-coding RNA, 833 nt
Organism: Dioscorea cayenensis subsp. rotundata (Guinea yam)
Lineage: Eukaryota; Viridiplantae; Streptophyta; Magnoliopsida; Dioscoreales; Dioscoreaceae
Exons: 3
Source: RefSeq, a predicted model, not a curated record